CCUGGUGAAAUAAGGCGGCUAUUGCUAGGAUCAUUUGCCCUUUGGCAGUUCAUCAUCUUCCCCCUCCAGGUGGUCCUGGUGGCCAACAACAGAAAUGCAAUUAGAUUCCAGGACACACUGGAUUUUUUCAGCAGGACCCUCCAUGUAAGCACCUGGAAAGUUUAUGUGGCAUAAACCUGCUUCGCCAAGGUUAGAACAACACGAAACGUGGUCGGCCGCUCUGCGGGAAAUCACUCGCAAAGAAUCUGCUUUCGGAGGUGCCCACGGGCAUAGGCUGUGUCAGUCGAGUUGCCAGUAGUGUUCUUGUCCAACCGGUAAGACUUCACCUUGUCAAGCCACCUAAGUUUGAGGUCUGAAAAGCCAAGAAACUCAUCAGUGGAGUGCAUGAGAUAAUUCAAGCCUUCAAAAAGCCUCUGGUUGAUGAAGGUAGGAAGGAUAUUGUGCUCCUGGACCCACGAUUCAAAAAAA
Molecule: non-coding RNA, 468 nt
Organism: Pogona vitticeps (central bearded dragon)
Lineage: Eukaryota; Metazoa; Chordata; Lepidosauria; Squamata; Agamidae
Source: RefSeq, a predicted model, not a curated record